This 1195-nucleotide long non-coding RNA is filed under the name Heterocephalus glaber (naked mole-rat). RNAcentral's name for it is "lncRNA (ENSHGLG00000033157.1)". Lineage: Eukaryota; Metazoa; Chordata; Mammalia; Rodentia; Bathyergidae. The record is from RNAcentral.
GGGUCCUUGGACAGGAAGAGUCCUUGUUCUUCCGGGUGCCCACACUCUCUGAGGCCGCAGUUCCACUUGGGACACAGCCAGCUCUGGAGCAGCCAGUGGGGAGAGGGCAGAAGGGUUUUUUGGUGUCUUCUAUUGAAAGUACUUCAAAGCCGUGAAGGAACCAACAUUCAUGCACCUGAGUUCGGAGGCGGUGGCUGUGGGCCACUUCACCCACUUCCCUCCUUCUGGGAAGAAGGAAGGGUGUGAAAGCAACCUGGAGGUGGGAGAGGAUGCUGUGCACCCCUUGCUGAUCACCCGAACCCCAGGGGUUGGUCCUGGGUCCAGGGAUUUCCCGGGUAUCUCUCCGGGCUCUGGACAGGGACCCAGACACGGCCUGCAGAGCAGCUAUGGCUGAGUGGGGCAGAGAGGUCCCAUCCUGGUGGUCUGGGGACCCGGCCUCACCCUCUCAUUCUCCCUUUGCUUGCUGUUUCCAGGGCCACGGGGGUUCCGUGGCUGUUCUUAUGGGGUUCACAUGGCUGCAUGUGAAGAGGCCGCCCCAAACCACCAAGGGUGUCAGAGCUCAGCCCAGUGGCCUGGAGCACGUCUGGGCAGUGGUGUCAGAGCCCCACACCACUCCCCAUCUCUGGGUACCUCCUCUUGACCUGACCUUGGAUCAUUUCUCCUUAAUGCCUAGGGUUCUGGAUUUUUUAUUUCCCCAGGGCUGGGGAUCGAACAUAGGCCUUGCACACCCAUGAGACAAGCACUCUCCCACUGAGCUCCACCCCGCCUCGGGGGCCUCUGGACUCUUAACCAGCUUAGCCUCCCUCCUCUGAUCCCAGCACGGAAGUAAACAAAGACCAUCCAACCAACAAGGACUCUCGCUCAGGAGUGAUGCCAUGGCAGGACGGGGAGAGCUUCAGAGUGGACAGGAGACCAUUUCCGGUGUGCCUGGCAGGAGGCUUCCAGCCUAGGGAUCAGGAGGCAGCUACCUGGACGCGGGACACCCCAUUUAAUUGGCCAGAGGAACAUAUUUGGCUUUUGCUUGGAAAAGAGGAUAAGUUGGAAACAGGCUGGUUUUGAACUUCUGGCUUCAGGAGAUCCUCUUGCCUCAGCCUCCUUGAAUAGCUGGCACUACAAGUAUGUUCCACCGUACCCAGCUUGCAUCAGUAGUUGAAGGUUUUGGUGAUUAUGACUAGAGCUGCCAUAGAUAUUUGUG